CUCGGAGCAGCUCGUGGGACGAGCAGCGGGCUAGGACCCGCCGGGCGCAGGUUCGACUCCUGCCUCCGAGC
This 71-nucleotide transfer RNA is filed under the name Sandaracinus sp. Its description in RNAcentral is "tRNA-OTHER". RNAcentral also lists the same sequence under 1 other name. Lineage: Bacteria; Pseudomonadati; Myxococcota; Polyangiales; Sandaracinaceae. The record is from RNAcentral.